CACUCUCUAGCUCAGUCGGUAGAGCACUUGACUUUUAAUCAAGGGGUCUGGAGUUCGAAUCUCCAGAGAGUGACCA
Molecule: transfer RNA, 76 nt
Filed under: Bacilli bacterium
Lineage: Bacteria; Bacillati; Bacillota; Bacilli
Also listed under: 3 other names
Description: tRNA-Lys
Rfam family: tRNA
About the family: Transfer RNA (tRNA) molecules are approximately 80 nucleotides in length. Their secondary structure includes four short double-helical elements and three loops (D, anti-codon, and T loops).
Source: RNAcentral